This is a non-coding RNA of Plectropomus leopardus (leopard coralgrouper), 1015 nucleotides long. NCBI's taxonomy places the organism in Eukaryota, Metazoa, Chordata, Actinopteri, Perciformes, Serranidae. The record is from RefSeq and is a predicted model, not a curated record.
AUUUUUUCACAAUAUAAAAUCCAAUUAAGAUGACAUUUAUUCUUCCCCAACUAGACCCAAGUUGGAGGAAAGAAAACUACCGUCCUGCUUCCCAAGUUGACCCCUGACACCGAAUACUCUAUUACUGUGGUGGGGGUCUACGCCAAAGGAGUUGGCGAGGAGCUGAACGGCCUUGGAAAGACCAGGCCUUUGGGCGGUGUUAGGAACCUGCGUGUCACUGACCCCACUACCAGCACCCUGAAUGUCCAGUGGGAGGCUGCUGAGGGCAAUGUGCGUCAGUACAGGAUCUUCUAUGUUCCUGCCGCUGGAGGAGUUGAAGAGAUGGCCCAGGUGUCAGGCAGCACCUACAACACUGUGCUGAAGAACCUGCAGUCUGAUACCGUCUACACUGUAACUGUGGUUCCUGUCUACUCCAUUGGAGAGGGACAAAGGAUGUCUGAGAAUGGCAAAACCUGUAAGCACUGCAUGCAUAUAAUCAUUGGUAUCAGUCACAAAUGGUGCUCCAUGCAUGAACACUUAAAAGCAGUCAUGACAUCCUUGGAAAACAGCUUUCAGGGUCUAGAAUAGACCAGACAGACUGACUAGAGGACCUCUGAGAAUGACAUAUUGCAUGACGGCAGUGGGAUUUCAGGAAUUCAUUCAUGUCCAUCCAGAAUGAACUCACUGGCCUCAGUUGCUGGCUGGCUGUUACAUAUUGUCAGAAAACCUUCAAUGAAGCAGCCAUAUAUUGUUUCAGAUCAGCCAAAUCCUUCUAAAAGCUCUAAGCCAAGCCAAACCGAUCAAAUACCAUUGGUUAUUUAGGAGGUGAAUUAACAUGCACUUAAUUCACACCUCACUUAUAAAAUGCUACAUAAGCCCUAACAUAAAAUGACAGUAUUAAACUUUGUCAGAUUAGUUCAAACUUCUUUGAAAAACUCAGACUUUUCCAGUUUUCCCACAACUUCAAACCACCAAUCUCUGCUGGGAAUGAGUCAGCAUUUUGCGGGCUGAUUGCGUAGGAAGGAAUUCCUCUGAC